UAGUGUUUGCAAACCGAUUAUUUCUAGAUUUUUUAAAUACACGCUUAAAAAUGUUCCCGACUUUGCAAGAAGUAAACUGGUAGACAACUAUAUAUAAAGUAACAUUGACUAGAUUUAGCGUUAAAUGGAUAACUUAAAUUUUAGUUAUGCAUCAUCUAGCCAUAAUUUUAGUUAAGUCGGUAUAUUACUUUAAACUAAGUUAGACGUUACACCAAUCAGGGUCAGACUGUACUAGCAUUUACUACAUUCCGGGUACUUUGUCCCGCCAAAAAAAAGCUUGGCCCACGCUCCAAUUUUCCAUCGUCGUUGUAACAAGAGUGAGUGCCCGAGUGCGAAUUAAAACUAAAGUAUAUAUUAAUUAAUUUGCCUAAUAAUUAAUUAGUUGAAGCUCAAAUAUUCCACAAUUCCACACCAACUGUACUAGAUAUGGAAGAAACUGCUCGACUACUAUCGCAAUGUGGGCUGGAUUGCUAUUUUGAUACUUUCAAGGAAAAUGCAAUAACGGACGACGCGACGCGAGAAGAUUUGGCAACAAUUGUACCAAUACGAAACUUUGGAAGGAAUUCAGAAGUAGAAAAAUGGCACGAUUUACGUAUGUUUUCAAUGCAAAAAUUCCUAUCACCAUUACUCUCCGAUCACUUUAAAUAUGUGCAUAGGUUAUCAAAGUUAAGGCAAUUAUUUCAUAUUAUUUUUGGUUGUUUUGUAAUUGUGAUUUAAAGAGUUCAAGUGGAUUUAAUUGAAAUAAAUAUAUGCUAAUGAGGA
This is a long non-coding RNA of Folsomia candida, 762 nucleotides long. RefSeq lists it as uncharacterized. Lineage: Eukaryota; Metazoa; Arthropoda; Collembola; Entomobryomorpha; Isotomidae. The transcript is spliced from 2 exons. The record is from RefSeq and is a predicted model, not a curated record.